This is a small nucleolar RNA of Cavia porcellus (domestic guinea pig), 206 nucleotides long. It matches the Rfam family "Small nucleolar RNA SNORA73 family". Rfam says of the family: U17 (SNORA73A and SNORA73B) also known as E1 belongs to the H/ACA class of small nucleolar RNAs (snoRNAs). Vertebrate U17 is intron-encoded and ranges in length from 200-230 nucleotides, longer than most snoRNAs. NCBI's taxonomy places the organism in Eukaryota, Metazoa, Chordata, Mammalia, Rodentia, Caviidae. The record is from Rfam.
UCUACCUUGGAUAACCCGGGAAGUCACUCUCCCUGGGCUCUGGGAGAGUGGCAUAGGGGAGCAUAAGGCUCUUGCCCCAUAAUGUACAGUCCCUUUCCACAACGUUGGAGAAGAAGCUGGGCCUUGUGUCUGCACCUGCAUAUUCCUACAACUUCUCAGAGUCCUUUGGGCAGUGACUGAGGAGAUACACCAUGCAGGAAACAAUG